AGAUUGAACGCUGGCGGCGUGCCUAACACAUGCAAGUCGAGCGGUAACAGGUGUAGCAAUACAUGCUGACGAGCGGCGAACGGGUGAGUAAUGCUUUGGAAUCUUCCCAGUAGUGGGGAAUAACCAGUCGAAAGAUUGGCUAAUACCGCAUACGUCUGUAAAGGGAAAGCGGGGGCUCGUAAGACCUCGCGCUAUUGGAUGAGCCAAAGUCGGAUUAGCUAGUUGGUGGGGUAAUGGCCUACCAAGGCGACAAUCCGUAGCUGGUCUGAGAGGACGACCAGCCACACCGGAACUGAGACACGGUCCGGACUCCUACGGGAGGCAGCAGUGGGGAAUAUUGGACAAUGGGGGAAACCCUGAUCCAGCGACGCCGCGUGUGUGAAGAAGGCCUGGCGGGUUGUAAAGCACUUUUAGUGGGGACAAAAAGCUACGGAUUAAUACUCUGUGGUCUUGAUUUAACCCAAAGAAAAGCACCGGCUAACUCUGUGCCAGCAGCCGC
Molecule: ribosomal RNA, 499 nt
Filed under: uncultured bacterium
Lineage: Bacteria
Description: SSU rRNA
Rfam family: Bacterial small subunit ribosomal RNA
Source: RNAcentral